Molecule: long non-coding RNA, 823 nt
Organism: Oncorhynchus kisutch (coho salmon)
Lineage: Eukaryota; Metazoa; Chordata; Actinopteri; Salmoniformes; Salmonidae
Exons: 2
Source: RefSeq, a predicted model, not a curated record
UUCUUAACUGACUUGCCUUGUUAAAUAAAGGUCAAAUAAAAUAAAGAAAACAGCUAAAUCAAGAUGACUUACUUUUCUAGUGUUUGAAAAUACAUACAGGCUUUCUUCAGAACAAGGAGAUCGUUCAAGACUGACGCCGAAAUUGGACAUGUGUCCAAGUCCUGAAGACGUCGGGAAAUAUCUUCAAAACCAGUCACUAGAGGUGUGGGCAGAGGAGUGUGUUCCGUCUUCGCUUCCUACAUGCUCCACAACUCCCUGGCCUAUAGGGCCGACUGGUCAUGCCUGUUCCUGGAUGAGCCUCCCCCUGGAGACCACAGAGCAAGACAGUUCCAUACAGGAAGACACCUAAGGAUUCAGUAUGAAUCUCCCACUGCCAACUUCAAUAAGAUGACGCAGGACAUCGUGUUUACGUACCUGAGAGCUUAUUCCCACCACCUGCUAACUCUGUUCUCUGUGGCAUGCCCACUUCCCUGUCCCAACCCUUCUAAGAUCACAUGCUGCAUGUGUGGCACUGUGACUGGACCCACAGGUCACUUGCACUGUGAAAGCCCAGGAGGGAGAGGAACAACAGGAGAGGGAGAUGGUUGCCAGGCAGGAGCACCAGCAAAGUAGAAGUUGAGACUUGUUUAGUCUCAUUGGUCAAACCCAUGAAAUCAUGAGGCAGACAGAAGAAUGCAAAUAUUUCACCUGUGAGGAACGUACCUGCAUCGCCUAUUUGAAUGUUCAAACAAAACAACCAGCACCAGUUUCAAUUAUCAUUUUUUCAUUAUAAAUAUCAAAUCUUGAAGAUAGAGCACUUACAGUAAAAAGCAAAAACUGUGAU